This 898-nucleotide ribosomal RNA is filed under the name uncultured Agrobacterium sp. Its description in RNAcentral is "partial 16S ribosomal RNA". The record is from RNAcentral. Lineage: Bacteria; Pseudomonadati; Pseudomonadota; Alphaproteobacteria; Hyphomicrobiales; Rhizobiaceae.
GGCUGGAUGACCUCCUUYGAGUUUGAUCCUGGCUCAGGCUGGAUGACCUCCUUAUAKUUUGMUSCWUAGCUCCGGGGGACUGGAAUUCAUACCGGAUACCCCUACGGGGGAAAGAUUUAUUGGGGAAGGAUUGGCCCGCGUUGUAUUAUUUAGUUGGUGGGGKAAAGGCCUACCAAGGCAACGAUCCAUAGCUGGUCUGAGAGGAUGAUCCKCCACUUGGGACUGAACACGGCCCAAACUCCUACGGGAGGCAGCAUGGGGAAUAUUGAACCAUGGGCGCGCCUGAUCCAGCCAUGCCGCGUGAGUGAUGAAGGCCUUACGGUUGUAAAGCUCUUUCACCGAUGAGUAUUGACUUUUUUCSGAGAAUAAGCCCCGGCUAACUUCGUGCCAGCARCCGCGGUAAUACGAAGGGGGCUAGCGUUGUUCGGAAUUACUGGGCGUAAAGCGCACGUARGCGGAUAUUUAASUCASGGGUGAAAUCCCGCAKCUCWWCUGCGGAACUGCCUUUGAUACUGGGUAUCUUGAGUAUGGAAKAGGUAAKUGGAAUUCCRAGUGUAGAGGUGAAAUUCRUASAUAUUCGGAGGAACACCWRUGGCRAARGCGGCUUACUGGUCCAUUACUGACGCUGAGGUGCGAAAGCGUGKGGAGCAAACAGGAUUASAUACCCUGGUAGUCCACKCCGUAAACRAUGAAUGUUAACCGUCGGGCAKUAUACUGUUCGGUGGCGCAGCUAACGCAUUAAACAUUCCGCCUGGGGAGUACGGUCGCAAGAUUAAAAUCRAARGAAUUGACKGGGGCCCGCACAAGCGGUGUAGCAUGUGGUUUAAUUCUAAGCAUCGCGCAGAACCUUACCARCUCUUGACAUUCGGGUAUGRGCWUUGGAKACGAUGUCCUUCAU